Molecule: long non-coding RNA, 1927 nt
Organism: Chrysemys picta bellii (western painted turtle)
Lineage: Eukaryota; Metazoa; Chordata; Testudines; Emydidae
Source: RefSeq, a predicted model, not a curated record
UUAUUGUUUGUGUAUAAAACAGGAAAGAUGUAUGUUGAGGGGGACUAGGCAAAGAAGGUCAGGUUUCCAGAGGGAACUAGUUUGGCAUGACACUUGGAGCUCAGGAAUGCAACAUGGUUCCAACUGCUACUUGACAAAUGCAGGCCUCUCAAUGGAUCACACUGGCCUCUGAACAUGCUCAGUAAAGAUCUUUCCUACAACUCUACCUACCUGCUGCCUCGCUGAUUGCUAGUGAAAAAUUCCCCUUUAGGUCUUCUGUUUGUUUGGAACGUUUCAAUGUAUUUCUACUUCCGCUGGACUUGAGCUUACACUGCCAGCGAGAGAAUGCUGGGAAUCCCCCAGUUCUCCGGCUCAGUUGCAACAGGGAUGCUGAAGCAGAAUGUCAAAAUGAGCCGCAGUGACGGAAACCUGCCAGACGCGGCACCGGCAUCACCUUGGUUAGUAUUACAUAAGGUGAAGGACAAGCUCCUGAUUAAAAAGAGGGAGGAAAAGUUGAUAUAUAGAGGGAAUAUAUCACAACUUCCUAUUCAGGGAGCUAAGAGAGCUGUUUAUUUUGCUGACCUGGCAUUCCUAACCUGAUGGGAUUGAAGCAGGAAAUGAACUUGUAGGAAGAACCUUGCAAACGUGACUGUGUGACCCAUCUGCAGUGUUUCACGGUAUCAUUGUCUGGGGACAGCAGUAGAAACCACUUCAGAUACUAAAGCACAGACAUUCCAUUGCUUUGCUUCUGGCUUUAGGACUUUCAGUGCAUACAGACAGUCUCUCCGGAAUAUCCCCCUGGAUUUCAUCGGGCUUUCAGCAUUCCGAUCAGGCGGCAGAAGCAUUUGUUAGCACAGCUCCAUGUCAUUCUUUGCUCUAUCCCAACAAUGGUUUCUUGGAAGCCCUCCAUGACACGUGGUGAACUUUGGAUGCCAUAAAAAAGAAGCAGUGCUUUUCCACCGCAGUCUCCUGUGGUUUCCUUGGCAAUCCAUUACUGUCAGACUGCAGAAAGAAGGCCGUGAAGAAUAAUUAUACAUAUUUAUCUGCUGUGCAAUGGAAUGAAAACAAAAGGAUAAAAACAAAUGUCAAAAUACUGAAUUUCCCAGAGGAAGGAAUUGUGUUUUCUGAACAGCUCUACUGAUGAGUUGCUAUUCAUACCAUGUGAUUGGUUUGUAUCCUAAUAGGAUGGCCUACGUGGAUUUAUAAACUCAGGCCACCUUUCUAGCCCCUGUUAAACAAGAUGCUUAUGCAGAUGCUUAAUCCGCAGCACCUGAGGAAUAUCCCAUUGAUUUCAGUGUUGAACUGGUACCUCUGUUUGUGAAGUAGUUCUCCAUGAACAGAGCCAUAAGGGACGUCUGGAACUGACUCAUCUCAUCAGCAGUUUGUCUGAAGGCUCAGCCCGAGAAGUAACCUGCCUUGCCCGUUCCAAGUGAAGCCCUCCCAGUCUGGGCCAUCAGCUGGCUUCCACCUGCAAUCAGCAUCGGAUAUUAAACUCAGCUGGAAUACCUACUCGCUCCGUCUCUGCAGACGUAGUUAAGUUAAUACAGCAAAUACUACCUGACUUUUCUAUUUUUGUGUGUGAUCUUUUGCAUUGUACUGUAUUCUGAAUGGCAUCAAUCUAAGCCCCUUGGUGGAGGGUCUUUUAUAAACUCCUCAUUAUUAUUAUUUAUUAUGGCAGAGAAGGACAAGAGAGGAUAUUGUCAUCUUUUAAGUAAUGGAGAUGCUCCGAUAUUAUGGUAGUGAGACCCAUAUGUGAGAGAGAGAUCCCUGUCCAUAGACAAAAAGAUAGAUGGGUGUAUAUGGAGAGAGAUGAAUAGGGGGAUGGAUUAAUGCACAGAUAGAUUAGAUAGAGAGGCAUAUAUGGGGAUGGAUAGAUAGAUCUGAUGAAUACGGUAUAUAUGAGCAGGGGCAGCUCUAGCUUUUUUGCCACCCCACGCACGGCAGGCAG